Molecule: ribosomal RNA, 253 nt
Filed under: uncultured bacterium
Lineage: Bacteria
Description: partial 16S ribosomal RNA
Rfam family: Bacterial small subunit ribosomal RNA
Source: RNAcentral
UACAGAGGUAUCAAGCGUUGUUCGGAUUAAUUGGGCGUAAAGGGUGUGUAGGUGGCGCGUUAAGUAGGGUGUGAAAUUUCGGAGCUUAACUCCGAAACUGCAUUCGAUACUGGCGUGCUUGAGGACUGGAGAGGAGACUGGAAUUCAUGGUGUAGCAGUGAAAUGCGUAGAGAUCAUGAGGAAGACCAGUGGCGAAGGCGGGUCUCUGGACAGUUCCUGACGCUGAGGCACGAAGGUCAGGGGAGCAAACGGG